ACUCCUACGGGAGGCAGCAGUGGGGAAUAUUGCACAAUGGGCGCAAGCCUGAUGCAGCCAUGCCGCGUGUGUGAAGAAGGCCUUCGGGUUGUAAAGCACUUUCAGUCGUGAGGAAGGUAGUGUAGUUAAUAGCUGCAGUAUUUGACGUUAGCGACAGAAGAAGCACCGGCUAACUCCGUGCCAGCAGCCGCGGUAAUACGGAGGGGUGCGAGCGUUAAUCGGAAUUACUGGGCGUAAAGCGCAUGCAGGUGGUUUGUUAAGUCAGAUGUGAAAGCCCGGGGCUCAACCUCGGAAUAGCAUUUGAAACUGGCAGACUAGAGUACUGUAGAGGGGGUAGAA
RNAcentral lists this ribosomal RNA (339 nucleotides) under uncultured bacterium. RNAcentral's name for it is "bacterial SSU rRNA". It matches the Rfam family "Bacterial small subunit ribosomal RNA", at positions 335 to 665 of the family's 1533-position model. The record is from RNAcentral.